AUUGAACGCUGGCGGCAUGCUUUACACAUGCGAGUCGAACGGUAACAGGCCUUCGGGUGCUGACGAGUGGCGAACGGGUGAGUAAUGCAUCGGAACGUGCCCAGAGGUGGGGGAUAACGCAGCGAAAGCUGUGCUAAUACCGCAUGUGAUCUGAGGAUGAAAGCGGGGGACCAGGCAGCAAUGUUUGGCCUCGCGCCUUUGGAGCGGCCGAUGUCAGAUUAGGUAGUUGGUGGGGUAAAGGCCUACCAAGCCGACGAUCUGUAGCUGGUCUGAGAGGACGACCAGCCACACUGGGACUGAGACACGGCCCAGACUCCUACGGGAGGCAGCAGUGGGGAAUUUUGGACAAUGGGCGCAAGCCUGAUCCAGCAAUGCCGCGUGCGGGAAGAAGGCCUUCGGGUUGUAAACCGCUUUCGUACGGAACGAAAAGGCUCUGGCUAAUACCUGGGGCUGAUGACGGUACCGUAAGAAUAAGCACCGGCUAACUACGU
Molecule: ribosomal RNA, 491 nt
Filed under: uncultured bacterium
Lineage: Bacteria
Description: partial 16S ribosomal RNA
Rfam family: Bacterial small subunit ribosomal RNA
Source: RNAcentral